RNAcentral lists this ribosomal RNA (497 nucleotides) under uncultured bacterium. RNAcentral describes it as "partial 16S ribosomal RNA". It matches the Rfam family "Bacterial small subunit ribosomal RNA", at positions 28 to 507 of the family's 1533-position model. The record is from RNAcentral.
GAUGAACGCUGGCGGCGUGCCUAAUACAUGCAAGUCGAGCGAACGGACGAGAAGCUUGCUUCUCUGAUGUUAGCGGCGGACGGGUGAGUAACACGUGGAUAACCUACCUAUAAGACUGGGAUAACUUCGGGAAACCGGAGCUAAUACCGGAUAAUAUUUUGAACCGCAUGGUUCAAAAGUGAAAGACGGUCUUGCUGUCACUUAUAGAUGGUUCCGCGCUGCAUUAGCUAGUUGUUAAGGUAACGGCUUACCAAGGCAACGAUGCAUAGCCGACCUGAGAGGGUGAUCGGCCACACUGGAACUGAGACACGGUCAAGACUCCUACGGGAGGCAGCAGUAGGGAAUCUUCCGCAAUGGGCGAAAGCAUGACGGAGCAACGCCGCGUGAGUGAUGAAGGUCUUCGGAUCGUAAAACUCUGUUAUUAGGGAAGAACAUAUGUGUAAGUAACUGUGCACAUCUUGACGGUACCUAAUCAGAAAGCCACGGCUAACUACGUG